This 2613-nucleotide long non-coding RNA is filed under the name Brassica napus (rape). Its description in RNAcentral is "long non-coding RNA (BNAP_LNC018287)". Lineage: Eukaryota; Viridiplantae; Streptophyta; Magnoliopsida; Brassicales; Brassicaceae. The record is from RNAcentral.
UUAAAUCAUCAGUUAGACACAGAACAUCAGAUCAUAGUUUCUUGAAAUCUUUAUCCCUAAGCUAACUUUCGAAAUCUACAACCUAGAACUCGAUAGAAAUAUGAGCAAUUACCUCCUGACCAGCGUUGUGAGAAGAGGAAGAGGAGGGUUUAGUUGUAGAAUCGUUGUCAUCUUCGCCGACAGGAAUCAGAAGCUCCCGAUCUCGGUUAGCCAUCACGAUCCCGGCUUUCGCGUCUCCCAUAAACAGUGAAGUAAUUGAAACCCAGAAGCAGUAGAGGGAAGGGAGAUCGACAAUGGAUGAGGAGGAGAUUUGUCAAAGCCUUCAACGAUGAAGAAAAUCCCUAAUCCCUGAUUCGACGGUCACAGAAAAAGAGAGAUUAUCUGUUUCGCAAAACUUUUUAUUUUUCAACUUAUACAAUGUCUCUAUUCAUUUUAAUUCAUUAUUACUAGAUUUUGAUGAAAAUGAAAAUAUGUAUGUUUGGAUUGUAUUUAUAGGAGGUUAUAUUUCUUAAUGUGUAAUUUUAAAUCGAGCACCAGAUAAAAUUGUCUAAGUUUUUGACAUAAUGAUAAUAUAUCAAUCUACUUUAAUAGUGUAUAGAUGAUUUCUUAUUUAUUAACUUCAAAGUCAAGGUAAACUAUAAUUUUUUAUUCCUUUCGGAUUUUAAAUUAUACAUAAAUUAUUUUGAACACAUUAUAAUAUUUAUAUUAAGGUAAAGUUUAACUUGGGAAUGCGGUAUGAUCAAUAUUAUUCCAAGUUGGACAGGUUCAAAAUAUGACACAAAUCGAUAAAGUAAUAAGAUAAUAUUUUUUUUUGAAAAAUGUAAAGUAAAUAUAUCAUCCAAUUCAAAUUAUAAAUUAAUAAUUAUACUUAUAUACAUUUUAUAUAAAUGUAAAUAAACCAUUAUAUUGUUUGUUUUAUAUUCAUAAUGGAAUUAUCUUUAUUGUAUAUUAUUUUUAAUGAAUUUGAAAAAACUGUUAUAGUUUUUUUAAGAAAAAAAUAAUCUUUAUAUUAUUAAUACAUUAUAAUGUUGACUUAAUUAUAAUUUAAUUAUUUUUCUUUGCUACAUAAUUGUGAUUUGUUUUUUAAAUGAGCCAGAAAGUGGCUUGACUAUAUUUAAGCUCAUAAAAUUAUCAAGAUGGGCUGUUAUUUAGAUAUUUAUGUUAAGCAAAUUCUGUUACAUAAGGAAUUCAAUAAAAUCGGCCCAAGCCCACACAAAUUCUAUAGCUUUUACACGAUAGAUACCAGAUAUUUUUGCCAUUUUCAGACAGCUUUUCGUUUUCCAAAAAAACAAACAAACUCUCUAAUAGCGAUUGAACCAACAAACGAUAUGUGUCUUCCACGAAUCGACUCAGUCUCAUCUCCAAGGUUACCCAUUGUUACUCUAUUUUCUUCAUCCUUGACAGAGAGUUGACUCGAAUCAAUUCUUACAUAAAGCUUUUUUUUUUUUGCAUGUCUCUCCGAUGGCUUAAAUAUAAUCGAAGUUGAUAUCGUGGUGAGCUGAUUCAACAGACAAAAAACUCCAAAGGUUUGUCUUCAUGUUCGUAAAUCCACCAUUAAUAACAUGAUUACUUAAGAAUUUUUAAUUAAAACAUAUUUACCAAAAGCCCAUUAGAUGAACCGAUUUACAUUUUUUUUUUCAGGUUUCAUUCGUCAGAAGAAAUAAAAGAACAUUUUUUUCUUAACUGCUGGUUCCUCUUGGUUAAACAGAAGAAGAUGGAAUCUCCGAAAGUAUAUCUCCAUCCGAUCCGUAAAAGGUAAUUCCAAUGUUACUUUUUUUGUCUCUUCAUCCAUUUCUUUUAAAUAUAAUUUGUAUUUUCAGAUCUAACUUUUUUUUUUAUAUAAUGAAGACUCCACCAAAACAGAGAGAGAGAGAUUUAAGGGAAAGACACCUGGUGAAAUGGCAGUACUGAUUUGCUUGGAGGCAUUGUAGAUGUGGCGAACAAAAGGCAUGCGCUUGAUAAACCACUCUCCCAAAUUAAGAACCGAAGUCCCCAACCAUGACGACAUGAACACUCCAACGAAGAAGAUAAAUGUAAUGGAUGUGAUAAACCCAAGUCCUGGAAACCAAAUUGAUACAUAUUUAUCUUGAAGAUUGGCAAUGAAGAUAUAUAAAUAUAUAUAUAUAUUGGGGGAGAAGCUGACCAAAAAGGUUAAUUCCGAGGUGAGCAUAUAUCGGGGAGAAGAAGCCAUCAACGAAAUGAAUAAACCACCACGUGACAUAGAAAGUGAUGGCCAUGGGCAGCAAGAUAACACUGCAGGAAGCAACAAAAAGGCACUUUGCUUGCUUAGGCGAAAAAUAGAAAGUGAAGGAAGAAAAGAGGUUACUAACCAUCCAGUCAUGAACUUCUUCGAUGCCCAGCUUCUUAUCAACUUGUAAAACGUCUUAAAUCAUCAGUUAGACACAGAACAUCAGAUCAUAGUUUCUUGAAAUCUUUAUCCCUAAGCUAACUUUCGAAAUCUACAACCUAGAACUCGAUAGAAAUAUGAGCAAUUACCUCCUGACCAGCGUUGUGAGAAGAGGAAGAGGAGGGUUUAGUUGUAGAAUCGUUGUCAUCUUCGCCGACAGGAAUCAGAAGCUCCCGAUCUCGGUUAGCCAUCACGAUCCCGGCUUU